CAUAUCUCCAUCUCUCUCCCCCAAUCCCCUUCUUCUCCACCCUCCGGCCGCCACCGCGGCCAGGCCAUCAUGGUGGCAUGCCAACCAUCCAUCCACCACUCCAUCACCCACUCCAUCUCCACCACUUGCCGCUGCCAGCGUCGCAUCACCACCUCGAACCACCGCGCCAUCCAUAAACAUCUCCAUCUUCCUCCGCCUCCUUCUCCACCUCUGGCCACCACCGCGACCAGGCCGGCGUGGUGGUGCACCUCCCAUCCAUCAGUGCCGCAAGUCACCACCAUCUCCGUCCGUCUCCACCAGCACCAUCCUCCCAGCCAGCCAGCAGCAUCGUCCAUCAUUCUCUGCCGCCGCCGCGCUACUCCAUCAACCUCUGCUGCUCCCUCUCCUUGACGCCCAGCUGCCGCUCCUUCUUACCAAACCUUGCUGCUGAUCAUUCUUCUCUUCUCCAUCUACUGCUGCUUCCUCUGCUUCCCUUUCUCUGCUUCUUCCUUUGCCUCACUGCAGCUCCACCUUCUCCCAAUUCCUCUCACAUCUUUGCUGCUGCUUCCUCAAAUCCUUCUGCUGCUCCUUUCUCCUUAAUUCCCUCCUUCUCUGAACCAAAACUAUUGUUCUUCUCUAAAGUCUGAACCGUCUACUGCUAUUGUUGCUGUUUCACAAACCUGAGCUUCUCUCCCUCUAUCACUCUUUCGUAAUUUCUGAAAAUUGUAAUGUACACUUUGCGUAUUGUUCGGUAUACAUGAUUCGUGCCUCCUCUAUGUUUUAGUUACUACAGUGUAUGUGAAAUUGUGAGUGGUUGAGCUACUCAUUGUUGAGUCAGACUUGUACUGUCAUAUAUAUGUUUUGAGUCAUACGUAUCUUUGUGAUUGUGGUUAAUUCUAGUAACCGUGGUGUUGCAUAUUCGUGAUUGUGGUUAAUUCUCUAAAUUUCUGUAAACAUUGAGCAGUGUACGUGCUGUAAUGUUUAGAUCAGACUAGUUCCUGGAAUUGCUAUUUGUUCAGUAUUGUACUUGUAAGAUAUAGUUCAUGUUAUGUGUGAUCAGUGCUAGCUUUGUCCUUGUGACAUAUAUGUUUGUGAUAUGAAUCAUCUAUCUCCUAUCAUAUAACUCUGUUCCUUCCGUGUAUCUUAUAAUUGCUAGUUUUGUAUACAUAAAUGUGAUCUUGUCUUGUUAAUCCCAUUUGUUUAGGAUGUUUGCCUGCAGUUUCUAUUUUCUCAAAUAAAAAAUUAAUACCAAAAAGACUGAGUAAAAUCUGAAUCUCCCUGUGCUCUUUGCAUUUUCUUUGUCGUCGACUUUGGUUAGUUUAGGUCUAUAUUUCCUCGCAAUCAUCAUCUGAAUUAUGUCACCUAGCUUUAGCCGAGCAUUGUUGCUGUCGCGUAGUCCAUGUGGAGAACACGACACUCGCAGUUUGGGCGUAAAACCCCACUGUACUCACAAUAGAUCAAUUUGGCGACGUUGUCGGGGACUAGCGUCAAGCGAUUAUGUUGGCUAUAGACUAGGCUUAUUAUAGUUCCGUGUUUAAUUCAUCGUGUAUUUCAUUAUCUGUGUUUCUUUUAUAUUUUUUCCUUGAUAUUGCUUCGGCUUAUUAGGAUACUAACCUUAUGACUAGUGUUUACUGUUUAUGAGUGUGCGUAGGAAAUCUGAACUAACUGCAAGUUGUUCUAUAGUUACACUUGGUUAAGAUGGCAUUGCUUCGUGAUCUUUGGAUGCCCAAAAGUCAAUGCUAUAUCACAGGACCGGUUUGGCCAACUAUUGAAGCAGAGAACUUCGAGCUGAAACCUAGUCUUUUUGCUUUGGUUCAAUAAUGUCAGUUUGGAGGACGGCCUACUGAGGAUCCCUAUGAACACUUACACCGAGUCAUGGAGUAUUCAGAUACAGUCAAGUACCACAGAGUUCCUCAAGACACAAUCAUGUGCAGGUUGUUCACAUUCUCUCUCUAUGAUGAUGCUCGUGCUUGGUACCAAUCCUUGCCAUCAAGGUCAUACAAUUGGAUUGAGAUAUCACAAGCAUUCUUGGAUAAAUAUUUCCCACUACACAAGAAGUCCGCGAUUCGAGAUGAUAUCUUCAACUUUGUUCAGCGUGAAGGUGAGAGUUUGUAUGAUGCUUGGGAGAGGUACAAAACCUUGUUCAGGAGAUGUCCCAAUCAUGGGCUCGAGAGAUGGUUAGAGCUACAGAUAUUCUAAAGAGGAUUGACUUUGGACACUCGCGCUUACAUUGACAUGGCAGCGGGUGGAGUUAUUACAAACAAGACACUUGAUGAUGCUUUUCUGCUGAUUGAGAGCAUAGCUUUCCACCAACUUCAGUGGUACAACAAGAAGCCCAUGUCUGAUUCAUUAGUUUGCUUGCCACAAAUCACUACACCUCAGCCAUCAAUUCUUACACAGAAGCCUGAACCUCUAUAUCAGUGUGACAAGAUUGAGUUUACAUGGAUUAUCUUUGAUGAUGAUGACACCAUUUUAGUUGAUAGACACGCUACAGAUCAUAUGGAUACUAGUGUUGGAGAUUCGGUUUUGCAUUGUGAUGAUUCUUCCAUGGAUGAGCAUGAGUUGCAGUUAGUUGCUUUUGGUAUUGAGGAGUCACCUUCGGUUAAUAUAGAUCAUGUGCUGCCUGAACCAGACAUGGAGAAGUUCACCUUUGAUGAUGUUAGCCACAUCGGUUCUUCAACGCUUGAGCCUGAGAUGGAAAUCUUCAUUGUUGAUUAUGAUGAGGUCACUUCAGAUGUCAAGGAGCAAAGCUCUACUAUUUCACCUGUCGAUACGAGCCAGGUGGAAGUUUCUACUACCAUGCCUUCCAUGGUAUCUUCAGUUGAGGUAGUCAUAAAACUUCUCCAAGGCCAUCUCAGGUAUUAUCUCAGCUUUCUGGAUAAGUUAUGUCAUAUUGCUGAUAUUGCCUAUGCACCAUGUGACUUGUUGUUGAUACAUGUUCCUGAUUUGCUCAAUAGAUAUACUUAUAUGAUAGGGUACUCAAUCGAUGACUUAAAGGGCAUUCUCUCUAUCACUUGUAUUGGCUUGGUUGUUGAGUGUUCUUUCAGGUUGAUGCUUGUGCACCAUUUACUGCGAGUUGACCGAGUUCGAGAUGACAUUCCCUGGGAUCCUGGUGGAUUCACGACAUGGUGAUGAGGAGAAGCAAUGGGCAUACGCGAAGAAGAGUGAAGCUGGAGCAGGCAUGGGGAUAGACAAGCAAAAAGAGAAGAGCUAAAGUUUAGAGAGUGUUGAGCGAGUGCAACUUCCUAUAUAAACCCCGUGUAUACCAUGUUGUUGGGAUCGGUGGUAUGUUCCUUUGAGGAGACAAACAAAAAAACUAAUAAUUGGUCGAGCCAGGUGUAUACCAUGUUCUCGGGAUCGGUGGUAUGUUCCUUUGGUGAGACCGAUAAAAUAUUAUCAUUACUUCCUUCAAAUUCAAUAAGUGCUUCAACCAUAAUGUUAUGUUCCUAGUAUUAAGUUUCUUUUUUUGGGAUCAUGCUCUCUUUAGGAACCCUUUGGUGCAAUCAGCAUUUGAACUUGUUGAUCCAAUUGUAUCUUUGUAGAAGUUUAAAAUGAUUGAGUUUACUAGUGUCCUAUUGCUCUGUAGCACUCUUAACCAUUGAUUUUCACUAGCUAAGUCAAAAGCAUGCAUUGUUUAGAGAUAUACUUCACUUGACAUUCUCUAGUUAGUUCACUGUUCAUAUUCUUGCUCUUGUCAUAUGCCUUUGCUUGAGGACAAGCAAAGAUUUAAGUGUGGGGGAACUUGAUAAGCGCAUUUCAUAUACAUUAUUUUAUGCUCAAAUAUACCAUUAAUUGAGAUAUACCCAUCCAUUCUUGCUACGAAUUGUUGAAUAUUCAAAUGAUAAUCAUAAAAGAGAAUGUUGACUAGUGAAUUGUUUAUUUUGCAGAAAAGUGCGCAAAGGCACUAUAAACUUCAAGAUUCGAUCGAUUGCCAAACGCAAUGAGACUUGGGGCUGGAACGAGAGAACGAGGGACCUGAGCGAGAAGAAAAUAAGUGUCCAGGGUCAAGGUAAUGUUGGAGGAUCAUCUUGAGAAGAAAGAAAGGAAGCAGGAGGGCCAAGGUGAAAAAAUGGCAGAUCAUAGGAGGAGGUCAAAAUCCCUAGACGCCCUGAUUCCCAAAAUCGGGCCUGGCAUAUCUCCAUCUCUCUCCCUCGAUCCACUUAUUCUCCACCCUCCGGACGUCGCCGCGGCCAGGCCGUCGUGGCGGUGUGCCAUCCAUCUAGCCACCACUACAUCAUCCACUCCAUCUCCACCACCCGCCGCUGCCAGCGUCGCAUCACCACCUCGAACCACCACGCCAUCCAUCAACAUCUCCAUCUUCCUCCGGCCACCGCUUCAGCCAGGCCGGCGUGGUGGUGCACCUCCCAUCCAUCAGUGCCGCAAGUCACCACCAUCUCCAUCCAUCUCCACCUGCGCCAUCCUCCCAGCCAGCCAGCCGCACCGUCCAUCAUUCUCUGCUGCCGUCGCGCUACUCCAUCAACCUCUGCUGCUCCCUCUCCUUGACGCCCAGCUGCCGCUCCUCCUUCCCAAACCUUGCCGCUGAUCCUUCUACUCUUAUCCAUCUACUACUGCUUCCUCUGCUUCCCUUGCUCUGCUUCUUCCUUUGCCUCGUUGUAGCUCUACCUUCUACCAAUUCCUCUCACAUCUUUGCUGCUGCUCCUUCCUCCUUAAUUCCCUCCUUCUCUGAACCAAAACUAUUGUUCUUCUCUGAAGUGUGAACCGUCUACUGCUAUUGUUCCUGUUUCACAAACCUAAGCUUCUCUCCUUCUCUCACUCUUUGUAAUUUCUGAAAACUGUAAUGUAAACUUUCCGUAUUGUUCGGUAUAGAUGAUUCGUGCCUCCUCUAUGUUUUAGUUACUACAGUGUAUGUGAAAUCUUGAGUGGUUGAGCUGCUCAUUGUCGAGUCAGACUUGUACUGUCAUAUAUAUGUUUUGAGUCAUACGUAUCUUUGUGAUUGUGGUUAAUUCUA
Triticum urartu is the source of this 4948-nucleotide non-coding RNA. Lineage: Eukaryota; Viridiplantae; Streptophyta; Magnoliopsida; Poales; Poaceae. The record is from RefSeq and is a predicted model, not a curated record.